This 442-nucleotide ribosomal RNA is filed under the name uncultured bacterium. RNAcentral's name for it is "bacterial SSU rRNA". It matches the Rfam family "Bacterial small subunit ribosomal RNA", at positions 30 to 490 of the family's 1533-position model. The record is from RNAcentral.
AUUGAACGCUGGCGGCAUGCCUUACACAUGCAAGUCGAACGGCAGCACGGGAGCAAUCCUGGUGGCGAGUGGCGAACGGGUGAGUAAUAUAUCGGAACGUGCCCAGUCGUGGGGAUAACGUAGCGAAAGCUACGCUAAUACCGCAUACGAUCUAUGGAUGAAAGCGGGGGAUCGCAAGACCUCGCGCGAUUGGAGCGGCCGAUAUCAGAUUAGGUAGUUGGUGAGGUAAAGGCUCACCAAGCCGACGAUCUGUAGCUGGUCUGAGAGGACGACCAGCCACACUGGGACUGAGACACGGCCCAGACUCCUACGGGAGGCAGCAGUGGGGAAUUUUUGGACAAUGGGCGCGAAGCCUGAUCCAGCCAUGCCGCGUGAGUGAUGAAGGCCUUAGGGUUGUAAGCUCUUUUGUCCGGGAAGAUAAUGACUGUACCGGAAGAAUAAG